RNAcentral lists this ribosomal RNA (96 nucleotides) under Calamus aidae. Lineage: Eukaryota; Viridiplantae; Streptophyta; Magnoliopsida; Arecales; Arecaceae. The record is from RNAcentral.
UGAGAGUAGUACAUCGAUGGGUGACCCCUUGGGAAGUCUUAACACUUUGGUGUGAUCAUACUAGCACUAAUGCACCGGAUCCCGUCAGAACUCCAA